CAAAGUGGCAAGUUUGGAAGCGAGGAAUUUUGAGGGGCAGGUUUCUGGAGGCAAUGAGGUUACGCCACGUCGUUCUGUUAGGGAAACUAGGGGGCGGCGUAGGGCUGAAAUAAGAGCUAUGACUAUGGAUCUAAUGAAGCGUUUUGAUGCACUUGAUCCUGAGCAGGGGCGGAAUCCGUAUGGGAUGGAGAUGGAGCAGGACGAGGAAAUGACGCCGGUCGGUGAUGGUAGGCGCCAAAGGGUGACCGCAGCACCUGACGCUCAGGACCCAGGAGAAGGAACGUCCCACGUACAGGACCCUCUGGACGAGCCUCCUUGCAGUGGAAGAGGGGAGGUUGAGGCUUCAGGUGACCCAUGGAGGAAUUCGGGUGAGUACGGAGCUUAUCACAAUGCAAGUAGUCAGGCGGCACAGUGGCCUUGGAUGGGAGGAUUACAACAGUUGGGAGUACCACCUAACGCUUGUGCAACACCGGGGGCGACAUGGCCAGGCAGUUUUUGGCCCCCUAUGGGGCCACAGUGGUUUGGAUGGGGUAUGCCGAUGCAGCCCCCUGUGCACAACACACCGGCUGACGAAGGUAAGAGAGGGGUUAUGCGACAACACCCAUCAGUGCCAAACACAGGGUAUAACACGGUACCAAUGGCUUCUAUGCCUUAUUCGGAUUACAGUACGCCACUGGGCGACCAUUUGACGCCCGCAGUCAAGGAGCGGAUUUGGAGAGGCGAUUUCAUUGAUUUCUAUGAUCUCCUUAACCGGGAAUUUGAAGUCAAGGAAAUCGAUAAGGAUGACGAGAAGUUGAAGGAAAAACAUAGGCGUAAACGGCCAGAUAGGAAUUGGAACAACUGGGUCACGGGUUUCACCAUAUACGCAGGUGUAUUGGUGAAAAUGCAGCCGUGGAAGGCUUCGGCAUUGUUUCAGUACUUCGAUAUUAUGCGUAGAGCGAAGGCUGAGUUUGAGGGACAGGCUUGGGCGCGUUAUGAUGAGGCGUUCAGAAUGCGAAGUGCGAUUAGGCCAGAGAUGCGUUGGGAUGAGACGCACCCAGGUCUGUGGCUACAGCAUAUGUCGCCAGCAAAAACAAACCUGGGUGAUAGAUUUGACUGUGGGCACUUGAAUAUAAGUGGGGGCGGGGCGGGG
RNAcentral lists this long non-coding RNA (1132 nucleotides) under Pogona vitticeps (central bearded dragon). RNAcentral's name for it is "lncRNA (ENSPVIG00000004994.1)". Lineage: Eukaryota; Metazoa; Chordata; Lepidosauria; Squamata; Agamidae. The record is from RNAcentral.